GAUGAACGCUGGCGGCGUGCUUAACACAUGCAAGUCGAGCGAAGCACCUAAGAAAGAUUCUUCGGAUGAAUUCUUUUGUGACUGAGCGGCGGACGGGUGAGUAACGCGUGGGUAACCUGCCUCAUACAGGGGGAUAACAGUUAGAAAUGACUGCUAAUACCGCAUAAGACCACGGUACCGCAUGGUACAGUGGUAAAAACUCCGGUGGUAUGAGAUGGACCCGCGUCUGAUUAGCUAGUUGGUGGGGUAACGGCCUACCAAGGCGACGAUCAGUAGCCGACCUGAGAGGGUGACCGGCCACAUUGGGACUGAGACACGGCCCAAACUCCUACGGGAGGCAGCAGUGGGGAAUAUUGCACAAUGGGGGAAACCCUGAUGCAGCGACGCCGCGUGAAGGAUGAAGUAUUUCGGUAUGUAAACUUCUAUCAGCAGGGGAGAAAAUGACGGUACCUGACUAAGAAGCCCCGGCUAACUACGUGCCAGCCGCCGCAGUAA
RNAcentral lists this ribosomal RNA (495 nucleotides) under uncultured bacterium. RNAcentral's name for it is "partial 16S ribosomal RNA". It matches the Rfam family "Bacterial small subunit ribosomal RNA", at positions 28 to 523 of the family's 1533-position model. The record is from RNAcentral.